Molecule: ribosomal RNA, 497 nt
Filed under: uncultured bacterium
Lineage: Bacteria
Description: partial 16S ribosomal RNA
Rfam family: Bacterial small subunit ribosomal RNA
Source: RNAcentral
GAUGAACGCUGGCGGCGUGCCUAAUACAUGCAAGUCGAGCGAACAGACGAGGAGCUUGCUCCUCUGACGUUAGCGGCGGACGGGUGAGUAACACGUGGAUAACCUACCUAUAAGACUGGGAUAACUUCGGGAAACCGGAGCUAAUACCGGAUAAUAUAUUGAACCGCAUGGUUCAAUAGUGAAAGACGGUUUUGCUGUCACUUAUAGAUGGAUCCGCGCCGCAUUAGCUAGUUGGUAAGGUAACGGCUUACCAAGGCGACGAUGCGUAGCCGACCUGAGAGGGUGAUCGGCCAUACUGGAACUGAGACACGGUCCAGACUCCUACGGGAGGCAGCAGUAGGGAAUCUUCCGCAAUGGGCGAAAGCCUGACGGAGCAACGCCGCGUGAGUGAUGAAGGUCAUCGGAUCGUAAAACUCUGUUAUUAGGGAAGAACAAAUGUGUAAGUAACUAUGCACGUCUUGACGGUACCUAAUCAGAAAGCCACGGCUAACUACGUG